CCUACGGGAGGCAGCAGUGAGGAAUAUUGGUCAAUGGGCGCGAGCCUGAACCAGCCAAGUAGCGUGAAGGAUGACUGCCCUACGGGUUGUAAACUUCUUUUAUAAAGGAAUAAAGUGAGGUACGUGUGCCUUUUUGUAUGUACUUUAUGAAUAAGGAACGGCUAACUUCGUGCCAGCAGCCGGGGUAAUACGGAGGAUUCGGGCGUUAUCCGGAUUUAUUGGGUUUAAAGGGAGCGUAGAUGGGUUGUUAAGUCAGUUGUGAAAGUUUGGGGCUCAACCGUAGAAUUGCAGUUGAUACUGGCAGCCUUGAGUACAGUUGAGGUAGGCGGAAUGCGUGGUGUAGCGGUGAAAUGCUUAGAUAUCACGAAGAACUCCGAUUGCGAAGGCAGCCUACUAAACUGCCACUGACAUUGAUGCUCGAAAGUGUGGGUAUCAAACAGGAUUAGAUACCCUUGUAGUC
Molecule: ribosomal RNA, 460 nt
Filed under: uncultured bacterium
Lineage: Bacteria
Description: partial 16S ribosomal RNA
Rfam family: Bacterial small subunit ribosomal RNA
Source: RNAcentral